GGUUAAGCGACUAAGCGUACACGGUGGAUGCCCUGGCAGUCAGAGGCGAUGAAGGACGUGCUAAUCUGCGAUAAGCGUCGGUGAGGUGAUAUGAACCGUUAUAACCGGCGAUUUCCGAAUGGGGAAACCCAGUGUGUUUCGACACACUAUCAUUAACUGAAUCCAUAGGUUAAUGAGGCGAACCGGGGGAACUGAAACAUCUAAGUACCCCGAGGAAAAGAAAUCAACCGAGAUUCCCCCAGUAGCGGCGAGCGAACGGGGAGGAGCCCAGAGCCUGAAUCAGUGUGUGUGUUAGUGGAAGCGUCUGGAAAGGCGCGCGAUACAGGGUGACAGCCCCGUACACAAAAAUGCACAUAUUGUGAGCUCGAUGAGUAGGGCGGGACACGUGGUAUCCUGUCUGAAUAUGGGGGGACCAUCCUCCAAGGCUAAAUACUCCUGACUGACCGAUAGUGAACCAGUACCGUGAGGGAAAGGCGAAAAGAACCCCGGCGAGGGGAGUGAAAAAGAACCUGAAACCGUGUACGUACAAGCAGUGGGAGCCUCUUAAUGGGGUGACUGCGUACCUUUUGUAUAAUGGGUCAGCGACUUAUAUUCUGUAGCAAGGUUAACCGAAUAGGGGAGCCGAAGGGAAACCGAGUCUUAACUGGGCGUUAAGUUGCAGGGUAUAGACCCGAAACCCGGUGAUCUAGCCAUGGGCAGGUUGAAGGUUGGGUAACACUAACUGGAGGACCGAACCGACUAAUGUUGAAAAAUUAGCGGAUGACUUGUGGCUGGGGGUGAAAGGCCAAUCAAACCGGGAGAUAGCUGGUUCUCCCCGAAAGCUAUUUAGGUAGCGCCUCGUGAAUUCAUCUCCGGGGGUAGAGCACUGUUUCGGCAAGGGGGUCAUCCCGACUUACCAACCCGAUGCAAACUGCGAAUACCGGAGAAUGUUAUCAUGGGAGACACACGGCGGGUGCUAACGUCCGUCGUGAAGAGGGAAACAACCCAGACCGCCAGCUAAGGUCCCAAAGUCAUGGUUAAGUGGGAAACGAUGUGGGAAGGCCCAGACAGCCAGGAUGUUGGCUUAGAAGCAGCCAUCAUUUAAAGAAAGCGUAAUAGCUCACUGGUCGAGUCGGCCUGCGCGGAAGAUGUAACGGGGCUAAACCAUGCACCGAAGCUGCGGCAGCGACACUAUGUGUUGUUGGGUAGGGGAGCGUUCUGUAAGCCUGUGAAGGUGGCCUGUGAGGGUUGCUGGAGGUAUCAGAAGUGCGAAUGCUGACAUAAGUAACGAUAAAGCGGGUGAAAAGCCCGCUCGCCGGAAGACCAAGGGUUCCUGUCCAACGUUAAUCGGGGCAGGGUGAGUCGACCCCUAAGGCGAGGCCGAAAGGCGUAGUCGAUGGGAAACAGGUUAAUAUUCCUGUACUUGGUGUUACUGCGAAGGGGGGACGGAGAAGGCUAUGUUGGCCGGGCGACGGUUGUCCCGGUUUAAGCGUGUAGGCUGGUUUUCCAGGCAAAUCCGGAAAACCAAGGCUGAGGCGUGAUGACGAGGCACUACGGUGCUGAAGCGACAAAUGCCCUGCUUCCAGGAAAAGCCUCUAAGCAUCAGGUAACAUCAAAUCGUACCCCAAACCGACACAGGUGGUCAGGUAGAGAAUACCAAGGCGCUUGAGAGAACUCGGGUGAAGGAACUAGGCAAAAUGGUGCCGUAACUUCGGGAGAAGGCACGCUGAUAUGUAGGUGAAGCGACUUGCUCGUGGAGCUGAAAUCAGUCGAAGAUACCAGCUGGCUGCAACUGUUUAUUAAAAACACAGCACUGUGCAAACACGAAAGUGGACGUAUACGGUGUGACGCCUGCCCGGUGCCGGAAGGUUAAUUGAUGGGGUUAGCGGUAACGCGAAGCUCUUGAUCGAAGCCCCGGUAAACGGCGGCCGUAACUAUAACGGUCCUAAGGUAGCGAAAUUCCUUGUCGGGUAAGUUCCGACCUGCACGAAUGGCGUAAUGAUGGCCAGGCUGUCUCCACCCGAGACUCAGUGAAAUUGAACUCGCUGUGAAGAUGCAGUGUACCCGCGGCAAGACGGAAAGACCCCGUGAACCUUUACUAUAGCUUGACACUGAACAUUGAGCCUUGAUGUGUAGGAUAGGUGGGAGGCUUUGAAGUGUGGACGCCAGUCUGCAUGGAGCCGGCCUUGAAAUACCACCCUUUAAUGUUUGAUGUUCUAACGUGGGCCCCUUACCGGGGUUGCGGACAGUGUCUGGUGGGUAGUUUGACUGGGGCGGUCUCCUCCUAAAGAGUAACGGAGGAGCACGAAGGUUGGCUAAUCCUGGUCGGACAUCAGGAGGUUAGUGCAAUGGCAUAAGCCAGCUUGACUGCGAGCGUGACGGCGCGAGCAGGUGCGAAAGCAGGUCAUAGUGAUCCGGUGGUUCUGAAUGGAAGGGCCAUCGCUCAACGGAUAAAAGGUACUCCGGGGAUAACAGGCUGAUACCGCCCAAGAGUUCAUAUCGACGGCGGUGUUUGGCACCUCGAUGUCGGCUCAUCACAUCCUGGGGCUGAAGUAGGUCCCAAGGGUAUGGCUGUUCGCCAUUUAAAGUGGUACGCGAGCUGGGUUUAGAACGUCGUGAGACAGUUCGGUCCCUAUCUGCCGUGGGCGCUGGAGAACUGAGGGGGGCUGCUCCUAGUACGAGAGGACCGGAGUGGACGCAUCACUGGUGUUCGGGUUGUCAUGCCAAUGGCACUGCCCGGUAGCUAAAUGCGGAAGAGAUAAGUGCUGAAAGCAUCUAAGCACGAAACUUGCCCCGAGAUGAGUUCUCCCUGACCCUUUAAGGGUCCUGAAGGAACGUUGAAGACGACGACGUUGAUAGGCCGGGUGUGUAAGCGCAGCGAUGCGUUGAGCUAACCGGUACUAAUGAACCGUGAGGCUUAACCUU
Molecule: ribosomal RNA, 2904 nt
Filed under: Escherichia coli O127:H6
Lineage: Bacteria; Pseudomonadati; Pseudomonadota; Gammaproteobacteria; Enterobacterales; Enterobacteriaceae
Also listed under: 1 other name
Description: bacterial LSU rRNA
Rfam family: Bacterial large subunit ribosomal RNA
Source: RNAcentral